GGGCCUGUAGCUCAGCGGUUAGAGCAAGCGACUCAUAAUCGCUUGGUCGCUGGUUCAAAUCCAGCCAGGCCCA
RNAcentral lists this transfer RNA (73 nucleotides) under Candidatus Moraniibacteriota bacterium. RNAcentral describes it as "Candidatus Moranbacteria bacterium (sediment metagenome) tRNA-Met". It matches the Rfam family "tRNA". From Rfam's summary of the family: Transfer RNA (tRNA) molecules are approximately 80 nucleotides in length. Their secondary structure includes four short double-helical elements and three loops (D, anti-codon, and T loops). Further hydrogen bonds mediate the characteristic L-shaped molecular structure. tRNAs have two regions of fundamental functional importance: the anti-codon, which is responsible for specific mRNA codon recognition, and the 3' end, to which the tRNAs corresponding amino acid is attached (by aminoacyl-tRNA synthetases). tRNAs cope with the degeneracy of the genetic code in two manners: having more than one tRNA (with a specific anti-codon) for a particular amino acid; and 'wobble' base-pairing, i.e. permitting non-standard base-pairing at the 3rd anti-codon position. Lineage: Bacteria; Candidatus Moraniibacteriota. The record is from RNAcentral.